CCUANGGGAGGCAGCAGUGGGGAAUUUUGGACAAUGGGGGCAACCCUGAUCCAGCCAUGCCGCGUGAGUGAAGAAGGCCUUCGGGUUGUAAAGCUCUUUCGGACGGAACGAAACGGUGGCGGUGAAUAUCUGCCACUAAUGACGGUACCGUAAUAAGAAGCACCGGCUAACUACGUGCCAGCAGCCGCGGUAAUACGUAGGGUGCGAGCGUUAAUCGGAAUUACUGGGCGUAAAGCGUGCGCAGGCGGUUCGCCAAGUCAGGUGUGAAAUCCCCGGGCUUAACCUGGGAAUUGCGCUUGAAACUAGCGGGCUUGAGUGUGGCAGAGGGGGGUGGAAUUCCACGUGUAGCAGUGAAAUGCGUAGAGAUGUGGAGGAACACCGAUGGCGAAGGCAGCCCCCUGGGUCAACACUGACGCUCAUGCACGAAAGCGUGGGGAGCAAACAGGAUUAGAUACCCCANUANUC
Molecule: ribosomal RNA, 465 nt
Filed under: uncultured bacterium
Lineage: Bacteria
Description: bacterial SSU rRNA
Rfam family: Bacterial small subunit ribosomal RNA
Source: RNAcentral